Molecule: ribosomal RNA, 800 nt
Filed under: Pseudarthrobacter oxydans
Lineage: Bacteria; Bacillati; Actinomycetota; Actinomycetes; Micrococcales; Micrococcaceae
Description: bacterial SSU rRNA
Rfam family: Bacterial small subunit ribosomal RNA
Source: RNAcentral
UCGAACGAUGAUGCCCACUUGUGGGUGGAUUAGUGGCGAACGGGUGAGUAACACGUGAGUAACCUGCCCUUAACUCUGGGAUAAGCCUGGGAAACUGGGUCUAAUACCGGAUAUGACUGACCGUCGCAUGGUGGUUGGUGGAAAGCUUUUUGUGGUUUUGGAUGGACUCGCGGCCUAUCAGCUUGUUGGUGAGGUAAUGGCUUACCAAGGCGACGACGGGUAGCCGGCCUGAGAGGGUGACCGGCCACACUGGGACUGAGACACGGCCCAGUAUCAUACGGGAGGCAGCAGUGGGGAAUAUUGCACAAUGGGCGCAAGCCUGAUGCAGCGACGCCGCGUGAGGGAUGACGGCCUUCGGGUUGUAAACCUCUUUCAGUAGGGAAGAAGCGAAAGUGACGGUACCUGCAGAAGAAGCGCCGGCUAACUACGUGCCAGCAGCCGCGGUAAUACGUAGGGCGCAAGCGUUAUCCGGAAUUAUUGGGCGUAAAGAGCUCGUAGGCGGUUUGUCGCGUCUGCCGUGAAAGUCCGGGGCUCAACUCCGGAUCUGCGGUGGGUACGGGCAGACUAGAGUGAUGUAGGGGAGACUGGAAUUCCUGGUGUAGCGGUGAAAUGCGCAGAUAUCAGGAGGAACACCGAUGGCGAAGGCAGGUCUCUGGGCAUUAACUGACGCUGAGGAGCGAAAGCAUGGGGAGCGAACAGGAUUAGAUACCCUGGUAGUCCAUGCCGUAAACGUUGGGCACUAGGUGGGGGGGAAAUUCCACGUUUUCCGCGCCGUAGCUAACGCAUUAAGUGCCCCGCCU